AACGCACAUUGCGCCCCCUGGUAUUCCGGGGGGCAUGCCUGUCCGAGCGUCAUUGCUGCCCUCAAGCACGGCUUGUGUGUUGGGUCGCCGUCCCCUUCCCGGGGGACGGGCCCGAAAGGCAGCGGCGGCACCGCGUCCGGUCCUCGAGCGUAUGGGGCUUUGUCACCCGCUCUGUAGGCCCGGCCGGCGCCUGCCGACCACCAACCUUUUUUUUACCAGGUUGACCUCGGAUCAGGUAGGGAUACCCGCUGAACUUAA
RNAcentral lists this unclassified non-coding RNA (258 nucleotides) under Exobasidium sp. RNAcentral's name for it is "partial contains 5.8S ribosomal RNA, internal transcribed spacer 2, and large subunit ribosomal RNA". The stretch from base 1 to 52 matches the Rfam family "5.8S ribosomal RNA", at positions 103 to 154 of the family's 154-position model. The record is from RNAcentral. Lineage: Eukaryota; Fungi; Basidiomycota; Exobasidiomycetes; Exobasidiales; Exobasidiaceae.